AGAGUUUGAUCCUGGCUCAGGACGAACGCUGGCGGCGUGCUUAAUACAUGCAAGUCGAGCGGACCUUUGCCGUUUGUUGCCGGUUUCCGGCGACAAAUGGCAACGGUUAGCGGCGAGCGGGUGAGUAACGCGUGGGUAAUCUGCCCCCAAGACCGGGAUAACAGGGCGAAAGCGCUGCUAAUACCGGAUGACCUCUCUUUAUCGCAUGGUGAAGGGAGCAAAGCUACGGCGCUUGGGGAUGAGCCCGCGUUCCAUUAGCUAGUUGGUGAGGUAACAGCUCACCAAGGCGACGAUGGAUAGCCGGCCUGAGAGGGUGACCGGCCACACUGGGACUGAGACACGGCCAGACUCCUACGGGAGGCAGCAGUAGGGAAUUUUCGGCAAUGGGGGAAACCCUGACCGAGCAACGCCGCGUGAGGGAUGAAGGCCUUCGGGUCGUAAACCUCUGUCUUUGGGGACGAUAAUGACGGUACCCGAGGAGGAAGCCCCGGCUAACUACGUGCCAGCAGCCGCGGUAAUACGUAGGGGGCGAGCGUUGUCCGGAAUUACUGGGCGUAAAGGGCGUGUAGGCGGCCUGUUAAGUCAGGCGUGAAAACCCCGGGCUUAACCUGGGGACUGCGUUUGAAACUGGCGGGCUUGAGGGCAGGAGAGGAAAGUGGAAUUCCCGGUGUAGCGGUGAUAUGCGUAGAUACCGGGAGGAACACCAGUGGCGAAGGCGGCUUUCUGGACUGCACCUGACGCUGAGGCGCGAAAGCCAGGGGAGCGAACGGGAUUAGAUACCCCGGUAGUCCUGGCCGUAAACGAUGGGUACUAGGUGUGGGAGGUAUCGACUCCUUCCGUGCCGGAGUUAACACAAUAAGUACCCCGCCUGGGGAGUACGGCCGCAAGGCUGAAACUCAAAGGAAUUGACGG
RNAcentral lists this ribosomal RNA (912 nucleotides) under uncultured bacterium. RNAcentral's name for it is "bacterial SSU rRNA". It matches the Rfam family "Bacterial small subunit ribosomal RNA", at positions 8 to 916 of the family's 1533-position model. The record is from RNAcentral.